Zea mays is the source of this 414-nucleotide RNA transcript. It is a transcript of the gene named metallo-dependent hydrolase pseudogene, with no coding region annotated. Lineage: Eukaryota; Viridiplantae; Streptophyta; Magnoliopsida; Poales; Poaceae. The transcript has 3 exons. The record is from RefSeq and is marked validated.
AUGGUUGCAGGUGUUAAUGGUUCCUCUCUAAAAACUAACGGAAAUCUUGAGGUUCUACGAGGCAUUCCUGUCGAGAGGUUGAUGAUGGAAACAGAUUCUCCAUAUUGUGACAUAAUAAAUACUCAUGCUGGAAGCCAGUAUGUAAAAUCUGUCUGGCCAUCCAAGAAGAAAGAAAAGUAUGAGCCAGAUUCAACAGUAAAAGGUCGCAAUGAGCCUUGUUUAGUCAGGCAAGUUCUUGAGGUAGUGGCUGGAAGCAAAGAAAUUUCUGACAUAGAAGGCCUGAGUAGAACUCUGUACCACAACACAUGCAGGCUCUUCUUUCCUCAGGAUCUUGACGCGUCUGCUAAUGCGUAGCUUGAGAGUGGUACUGCCGUCCAGGAUUGCUGAUGUCAGAGUGAUUUUUUUUAAAUGUUU